RNAcentral lists this long non-coding RNA (1156 nucleotides) under Malus domestica (apple). Its description in RNAcentral is "long non-coding RNA (MDOM_LNC002594)". Lineage: Eukaryota; Viridiplantae; Streptophyta; Magnoliopsida; Rosales; Rosaceae. The record is from RNAcentral.
CAACUAAAAAUCUAUUACCAUUGGUCCCUCAACUUUAAUUCAACUGGAGAAAUGGUCUCUUAAAUUUAACCUAAUUGUAGCAAUGGUCCUUCCAACACAACUCGUUUUGACAAAAAUUUUGAUGUAGUUGACGAAAAUGACCAUAAUUACACACUUUGAUGAGUUGAGGGACCAUAAUUAUAUAAAUGGUUAUUCCAACAUAACUUAUUUUGACAAAAUUUUGACGAAAUUGAUGAAAAUGACUAUAGAUACACAUUUUGAUAAGUUGAGGAACUAAUGAUAAUAGAUUUUUAGUUGAGGGACCACUGCUACAAGUUACUUUAUUCUAUAUAUGCUUAAGUGAGGGAUUUUCAAUUUCCUAAAAGGCUCAAGUUAAGUGAGGAAGAGGGAGAAUAGAAAUGCCCUACGUAAUUAUUACAAAGAUAGGAACGAAGAAUUUGUAAAUGACUUGUUUCAAGUAGUUAUUUGUAAAUUUCUUAACCUUGUCAGAAUAAUUUGUGAUAAAAACUUAAAAUCAUAUGUUUUGAAGUGCAGUUUAUGUCAUAUAUUUUCAAUAUAUAUGAUAAUUAAAGAGAAAUUUGCACAAACAUUGACUGGACCAUUAGCUACAGAAAUGCACAGAUACUGCCCAAACAAAAGUCUUGCCAAUUUACUAACCAAAAUACACUUCUUAGUGCAGAUGUAUUACCUCUAUUAAUCGCUGUUAGAAAUUUCAUUGUCUUUGAGGAAGUGAAAGAUAUGUCAAUGCUUAGUACAAAACCCUUAAUAAGUGAAAGUGGUCAAUUAGAAAUUUAAUCAAAGCAGUGUUUGUGAAAUUUUACUAAAUUAAAGGCCACUUAGUACAAUGAUUUAGUGGUAUACUUCUUCAUUUGCAAGCGAGAGGUCUUAAGUUUAAUUCUCGUCAAAGAUAAAUUUGAAUCACAUUAUUGCUAGUCUAUUGUGAGGCUAAGCCACCCCUCCCUUAAUGUAAAUAAUAUCAUUUGUUAAAAAAACACUAAAUUGAAAGUGAUUACAUUAAAUGUAAUUUAAUCACUUUCAAUCAAAUUGGAUUAGAAAUUUUGAGCAGACAGAGUGAUAAUCAGUGGAUCACGUCCAGUUCUCAACUCAAUAAUUCGCACAUGGAGCAGAUGGUUUUAGCAACUCAGCUCAUCAUCAU